AACGAACGCUGGCGGCAUGCCUAACACAUGCAAGUCGAACGAGACCUUCGGGUCUAGUGGCGCACGGGUGCGUAACGCGUGGGAACCUGCCCUUAGGUUCGGAAUAACUCCCCGAAAGGGGUGCUAAUACCGGAUAAUGUCUUCGGACCAAAGAUUUAUCGCCUUUGGAUGGGCCCGCGUUGGAUUAGCUAGUUGGUAGGGUAAAAGCCUACCAAGGCGACGAUCCAUAGCUGGUCUGAGAGGAUGAUCAGCCACACUGGGACUGAGACACGGCCCAGACUCCUACGGGAGGCAGCAGUGGGGAAUAUUGGACAAUGGGCGAAAGCCUGAUCCAGCAAUGCCGCGUGAGUGAUGAAGGCCUUAGGGUUGUAAAGCUCUUUUACCCGGGAUGAUAAUGACAGUACCGAGAGAAUAAGCGCCGGCUAACUCCGUG
Molecule: ribosomal RNA, 433 nt
Filed under: uncultured bacterium
Lineage: Bacteria
Description: partial 16S ribosomal RNA
Rfam family: Bacterial small subunit ribosomal RNA
Source: RNAcentral